AGUGAACGCUGGCGGUAGGCCUAACACAUGCAAGUCGAACGGCAGCACAGUAAGAGCUUGCUCUUACGGGUGUCGAGUGGCGGACGGGUGAGGAAUACAUCGUAAUCUACUUUUUCGUGGGGGAUAACGUAGGGAAACUUACGCUAAUACCGCAUACGACCUACGGGUGAAAGCAGUGGAUCUUCGGACCUUGCGCGAUUGAAUGAGCCGAUGUCGGAUUAUCUAGUUGGCGGGGUAAAGGCCCACCAAGGCGACGAUCCGUAGCUGGUCUGGGAGGAUGAUCAGCCACCCUGGAACUGAAACACGGUCCAGACUCCUACGGGAGGCAGCAGUGGGGAAUAUUGGACAAUGGGCGCAAGCCUGAUCCAGCCAUACCGCGUGGGUGAAGAAGGCCUUCGGGUUGUAAAGCCCUUUUGUUGGGAAAGAAAAGCAGCAGGUUAAUACCCCGCUGUUCUGACGGUACCCAAAGAAUAAGCACCGGCUAACUUCGUG
This 492-nucleotide ribosomal RNA is filed under the name uncultured bacterium. RNAcentral describes it as "partial 16S ribosomal RNA". It matches the Rfam family "Bacterial small subunit ribosomal RNA", at positions 29 to 507 of the family's 1533-position model. The record is from RNAcentral.